GGACGCUGCCUUUCCUCCCCAAGGUUAAAUAACGCCUAACUGUAGUUUCGCGCUCAGUAACGGACGAACCACGAACAGCCAUGGAACAGCUUAGUCCAUUAGGGUAUGCUGGCGCUGCAGUGCUUCAGGUUAUAUUCGGCCUCCCUCUGGCUGCUCUACAAUUAAUAUUCGGGCCUUUAAACAGCGCCACCACAUGCAAAGGGUUCUCAGCCGGCCUUAUACCCUUCACAAUGCGGCUGUUAAGAGGCGAUGAAGUCAAAUGGUAUUUCGAUACAUGCUGAAGGAAGGGGAAAAAAAUGGCGCCACGUGCUUAUCAAAUUGAAGUAUAAAUAUUACUUAUUCCAGUUCUAUGGUUUUGUGAUUUUAUUUAUCUAUGUAUGGACGUAUUAAUUAAUUAAUUUAUUAACUCGUUUGCAUGGCUACGUGUUUAUCUUUAAUAGGAAUUUGAUUUAGUUUGUAUAUGUCUUUCUGCGUAAACGAAAAAUACAAGCAUCUAUCGUAAUGUACCAAUAGAUAUGAUGAGUAAUUUUUUUUUCAAAAUUAUAAUCAGAAACUACAGUCAAUUUUCAUAUAAGAAAUAUAUAGAUAAUUCUGUAUUUGUGCACAGUUUACGACUAUGUAAACCUUUGCAUUGUGAAUGAUCUAGCAAAAUAUGUACUGUAUAUGUGUUUAUGGAUGCGUUAUAUGCUUUGUAUAUCAGUCUAUGUUAAUUUUUAAAUAUAGCCUGCCUGAGGCUCUUGUUUACC
Molecule: long non-coding RNA, 746 nt
Organism: Penaeus indicus
Lineage: Eukaryota; Metazoa; Arthropoda; Malacostraca; Decapoda; Penaeidae
Exons: 3
Source: RefSeq, a predicted model, not a curated record